RNAcentral lists this ribosomal RNA (305 nucleotides) under uncultured bacterium. RNAcentral's name for it is "bacterial SSU rRNA". It matches the Rfam family "Bacterial small subunit ribosomal RNA", at positions 337 to 641 of the family's 1533-position model. The record is from RNAcentral.
CCCUACGGGGGACAGCAGUGGGGAAUAUUGCACAAUGGGGGAAACCCUGAUGCAGCGACGCCGCGUGAGUGAAGAAGUAUUUCGGUAUGUAAAGCUCUAUCAGCAGGGAAGAAAUACUGACCUUACGGUCAGCAGACGGUACCUGACUAAGAAGCCCCGGCUAACUACGUGCCAGCAGCCGCGGUAAUACGUAGGGGGCAAGCGUUAUCCGGAUUUACUGGGUGUAAAGGGAGCGUAGACGGCAUUGCAUGUCUGAUGUGAAAGAUUGGGGCUCAACCCCAGGCCUGCAUUGGACACUGGAAAGC